This 1577-nucleotide long non-coding RNA is filed under the name Cricetulus griseus (Chinese hamster). RNAcentral describes it as "lncRNA (ENSCGRG00015036655.1)". The record is from RNAcentral. Lineage: Eukaryota; Metazoa; Chordata; Mammalia; Rodentia; Cricetidae.
CUACUGUUAAGAAUUGUAAUAUAAAUAUCAAUAUGCAGGAUAUAUUAUAUUUGACCCCUGUGAAAGGGUUGUUUAACACCCCGCACCUCCACUGAGGGUUUUUGACCCACAGGUUGAGAACCACUGCUCUUGGUGUUUCUUAGCCUCUUCAUGUUUAUUUAGUGGCUGGGUGCUGGAAAGGGAAUGUAAAAUGCAUGAGAAAUGUCUGGUUCAGCUUUAGGCAGCAGGAAAGUGACCUGUAACAGUGAUGGCUGACUCCAACAGCAAGCUGCGUGCCCCUGGGACGUGCAGUACUCCAAGGGUGGAGGCCUUUAGCUUCACUUCCUUGAUACCUCACCAGAGUUUUAGAAAUCCCUCAGGAGUGUCUGGCUGGUUGAACCUGCUCCACUAGGGCAAGGACUGUCAUCUACCCACUCAUCCAGCCUCCUCCUCCAACACUUCAUCCUAGUUCCAUGCAGCUGUAUGUCUCUUGGACUGCUCUAAAUCCUAUCUUCCUCUAUUGCAAGUGUACAGUAGUUAUCUGCCUGUUACCCUUAUAAAAAUUCCUUGGCCAAGAUUUUUAUUUUUUAUUUUUAAGACAGUCUUAUGUAGCCUAGGCUGUCCCUACACAGCUAAACUUACUGUGUAGGCAAGUGUGACUUCAAACUUCUGGUCUUUUUGUUUCUGCCUUCUGAGUGUUGGAAUUACAGGCAUGCACCAAUGCACUUGGUUUAUGCUGUGCUGGAAAUGAAGCUUAGGACCUUAUAUACAGUAUGCAAGGACUCUGCCCACUGAACUAUGUCCUCGGUGCCUGAACAAUCAUGUUGUACAUAUCUAGAACCUAUUCUGGGCACUACAGAUGAAUCACUGAGUGGCAGAGGCACUGUGCAGCCUUGGAAGCUUUAUACCUGGUGAAGAAGCACAUUAUACAACAGGUUGAUGUUGUUCCUGUGUUCUCUGUGACUGCCUUCUGAGAGGACAGUUGCAGCCCUGCAUAGUGUCUUGUCAGUGAGCAUUUAUAUUGCUUUAAAGUAAUCUUUUGAUUUCAGUAUAUCCCAAAAGUUAAUGGGGGGAAUAAGUGUAACAAUAUUUAUGAAGCCAGAGGAUACACAGCUCAUAUUUAACAACAGGGCAUGAACUUUGGCUCUAACUGUUUUCUGGAAUCUCCUUAGCUGCUGACAUGCUCCAGGCUUCACAGGCCAGAGUGCUGUGACUGAAUAGGGGACAAUGUUAAUGGUUCUUAGCCUCUAGACCCUCUCACUUAUCUCUAAUUUUGUGUUCAUAGUUAAUUUUUUCUUAAAAGAUCUUCUUUCUAAACUAUCAAUCCUCAGAAUUCCUAAAACUUGGAUCAGCUUCUCCCUGAAAAAAGAUGAUGGAAGUGCUGGUGUUGGCCAUGUGAUAAAAUGUUGGGGGCAGUGCUGGGUGAUGCAGAUCAAAAGCAUCCUAGAGAGGCCUGAAACCCAGGUAGGUAGGUAGGUAGGUAGGUGUGUGUGUGUGUGUGUGUGUGUGAUAUUCCUAAAAAAUAAUAAUAAAAAAAGACUUCAACCAGUUAGUUAUGUUGAAGAACACUUUGUAGACAGAAAACAGGCCACUAGUGU